CACGUAGGGCGCAAGCGUUGUCCGGAAUUAUUGGGCGUAAAGAGCUCGUAGGCGGUCUGUUGCGUCCGCUGUGAAAACUCGGGGCUUAACCCCGAGCCUGCAGUGGAUACGGGCAGACUAGAGGUAGGUAGGGGAGAAUGGAAUUCCCGGUGUAGCGGUGAAAUGCGCAGAUAUCAGGAGGAACACCAAUUGCGAAGGCAGCUCGCUGGGACGUGACUGACGCUGAGACGCGAAAGCGUGGGGAGCAAACAGG
RNAcentral lists this ribosomal RNA (253 nucleotides) under uncultured bacterium. Its description in RNAcentral is "partial 16S ribosomal RNA". It matches the Rfam family "Bacterial small subunit ribosomal RNA", at positions 524 to 776 of the family's 1533-position model. The record is from RNAcentral.